Molecule: transfer RNA, 84 nt
Filed under: Cypionkella aquatica
Lineage: Bacteria; Pseudomonadati; Pseudomonadota; Alphaproteobacteria; Rhodobacterales; Paracoccaceae
Description: tRNA-Thr
Source: RNAcentral
CAAAGGGUGCCGUGGGUGCAGCGGUUUUUGUAAGGCCGCGCUGGUGGUGCUGUCGGAUCGAGGGUUUCACACCCUCCGCUUCGA